This 378-nucleotide long non-coding RNA is filed under the name Manihot esculenta (cassava). RNAcentral describes it as "long non-coding RNA (MESC_LNC009297)". The record is from RNAcentral. Lineage: Eukaryota; Viridiplantae; Streptophyta; Magnoliopsida; Malpighiales; Euphorbiaceae.
CUGUUCAUUUGAGUUACUCAUAAAGGGUAACGUUUGGAGACUUAGGGCUCUGUUCAUUUGGGUUACUCAUAAAGGGUAACGUUUGGAGACUUAGGGCUCUGUUCAUUUGGGUUACUCAUAAAGGGUAACCUUUGGAGACUUAGGGCUCUGUUCAUUUGGGUUACUCAUAAAGGGUAACGUUUGGAGACUUAGGGCUCUGUUCAUUUGGGUUACUCAUAAAGGGUAACGUUUGGAUACUUAGGGCUCUGUUCAUUUGGGUUACUCAUAAAGGGUAACGUUUGGAGACUUAGGGCUCUGUUCAUUUGGGUUACUCAUAAAGGGUAACGUUUGGAGACUUAGGGCUCUGUUCAUUUGGGUUACUCAUAAAGGGUAAUAUUU